GAAGAGGGAUCAAUUACAAUGUUUUCUUUAUUUUAAGGAGUCAAAAUCAGAUUUAUUUUUUAACUUAUUUUUACCAAAUAUAAGAGUAGCUAAAUAAGACAAGGAUCAUCAAUUAUAAAACGGUAAGCCAAGAGCAAUGACCGGCACAUAAAAGUAUUAAUUUUCUAAGUCAAAUAACCACCUAAUACUAAAUUACCAUAAAUAAACAAGUAAGAAUCUAUUUUGGACAAGAAUUAAGGGAGGAGGGGUCAAUAAUAUAGUAGAAGAGGGGCACAUAUAAGGGAAAUAAAUAAUUUAAGGAAUCCAUUAAUAUGACAUUUUCCUUAUUUCAAAGGAGAGCCCAAAGUUUUCACAAAAUUAUUUUUUGACCAAAUAUAAAACAAGUAAGAAAUCGGAUUACUAUAAUUAAGAANNN
RNAcentral lists this long non-coding RNA (415 nucleotides) under Solanum tuberosum (potato). Its description in RNAcentral is "long non-coding RNA (STUB_LNC000954)". Lineage: Eukaryota; Viridiplantae; Streptophyta; Magnoliopsida; Solanales; Solanaceae. The record is from RNAcentral.